This 133-nucleotide ribosomal RNA is filed under the name uncultured bacterium. Its description in RNAcentral is "partial 16S ribosomal RNA". The record is from RNAcentral.
CGUAGUUGGCCGGGCCUUCUUCUGGAGGUACCGUCAUUUUCUUCCCUCCUGAAAGCGGUUUACAACCCGAAGGCCUUCAUCCCGCACGCGGUGUCGCUGCAUCAGGCUUUCGCCCAUUGUGCAAUAUUCCCUG